UGGCGGACGGGGGAGUAAUGUCUGGGAAACUGCCUGAUGGAGGGGGAUAACUACUGGAAACGGUAGCUAAUACCGCAUAACGUCGCAAGACCAAAGAGGGGGACCUUCGGGCCUCUUGCCAUCGGAUGUGCCCAGAUGGGAUUAGCUAGUAGGUGGGGUAAAGGCUCACCUAGGCGACGAUCCCUAGCUGGUCUGAGAGGAUGACCAGCCACACUGGAACUGAGACACGGUCCAG
Molecule: ribosomal RNA, 235 nt
Filed under: uncultured bacterium
Lineage: Bacteria
Description: partial 16S ribosomal RNA
Rfam family: Bacterial small subunit ribosomal RNA
Source: RNAcentral